GCAGGGGGCGAGCGUNGUCCGGAAUCACUGGGCGUAAAGGGAGCGUAGGCGGUCGAUUAAGNUAGAUGUGAAACCCCCGGGCUUAACUNGGGGACUGCAUCUAAUACUGGUUGACUUGAGUACAGGAGAGGGAAGCGGAAUUCCUAGUGUAGCGGUGAAAUGCGUAGAUAUUAGGAGGAACACCAGUGGCGAAGGCGGCUCUCUGGACUGUAACUGACACUGAGGCACGAAAGCGUGGGGAGCAAACAGGAUUAGAUACCCUGGUAGUCCACGCCGUAAACGAUGAGUACUAGCUGUCGGAGGUUACCCCCUUCGGUGGCGCAGCUAACGCAUUAAGUACUCCGCCUGGGAAGU
This 354-nucleotide ribosomal RNA is filed under the name uncultured bacterium. Its description in RNAcentral is "bacterial SSU rRNA". It matches the Rfam family "Bacterial small subunit ribosomal RNA", at positions 527 to 881 of the family's 1533-position model. The record is from RNAcentral.